Pelobates cultripes (western spadefoot toad) is the source of this 233-nucleotide non-coding RNA. The record is from the annotation of a GenBank genome assembly. Lineage: Eukaryota; Metazoa; Chordata; Amphibia; Anura; Pelobatidae.
GCACAGUACAAUAAGAUAAUCUAAACAAAUGAGACAUCUUUUUUUUCAGGAAGUGUGUAGGGAGACUGCUACAGUGCAGGGCUAGCAUUUUUGGCCUGGGAGAUAUCUACAAGUGAAUGGCCUUUUAUUCACAAAAUUCAGAAGUGCCCACCUUUCUCUCAAAAAUUGUUGUUACAGGUACAUACUGUUGCUCGCAAACAUUGAUGAAUAUCUACUUAGUGAUUUACUCUUUG